RNAcentral lists this small RNA (166 nucleotides) under Streptomyces sp. Its description in RNAcentral is "c-di-AMP sequence". It matches the Rfam family "c-di-AMP riboswitch aptamer (ydaO/yuaA leader)". From Rfam's summary of the family: This family represents a conserved RNA structure found upstream of the ydaO and yuaA genes in Bacillus subtilis and related genes in other bacteria. RNAcentral also lists the same sequence under 1 other name. The record is from RNAcentral. Lineage: Bacteria; Bacillati; Actinomycetota; Actinomycetes; Kitasatosporales; Streptomycetaceae.
AAACCGCACCCACCCACUCACGUUCGUACGGCAGGAGCGGGGGACCCAGGUAAGCCGCCGAUCCGGAGCACACCGGAACGGCUCGGGGUGAAGCCGCGCUGACACCGCGGCCGGGCAUCUCCAGUCCGAACCCGACAGCUCACCUCGCAGGCGACGGAGAGGAAUU